GGAGGCAGCAGUAGGGAAUCUUCCACAAUGGGCGCAAGCCUGAUGGAGCAACACCGCGUGAGUGAAGAAGGGUUUCGGCUCGUAAAGCUCUGUUGUUAAAGAAGAACACGUAUGAGAGUAACGUGUUCAUACGUUGAGGUAUUUAACCAGAAAGUCA
Molecule: ribosomal RNA, 157 nt
Filed under: uncultured bacterium
Lineage: Bacteria
Description: partial 16S rRNA
Rfam family: Bacterial small subunit ribosomal RNA
Source: RNAcentral